RNAcentral lists this ribosomal RNA (230 nucleotides) under uncultured bacterium. Its description in RNAcentral is "partial 16S ribosomal RNA". It matches the Rfam family "Bacterial small subunit ribosomal RNA", at positions 562 to 791 of the family's 1533-position model. The record is from RNAcentral.
AAAGGGUGCGUAGGCGGAUUCUUAAGUCAGGGGUGAAAUCCCGAGGCUCAACCUCGGAACUGCCUUUGAUACUGGGGAUCUUGAGUCCGGAAGAGGUGAGUGGAACUGCGAGUGUAGAGGUGAAAUUCGUAGAUAUUCGCAAGAACACCGGUGGCGAAGGCGGCUCACUGGUCCGGAACUGACGCUGAGGCACGACAGCGUGGGGAGCAAACAGGAUUAGAUACCCUGGU